RNAcentral lists this ribosomal RNA (440 nucleotides) under uncultured bacterium. RNAcentral describes it as "partial 16S ribosomal RNA". It matches the Rfam family "Bacterial small subunit ribosomal RNA", at positions 338 to 795 of the family's 1533-position model. The record is from RNAcentral.
CCUACGGGGCGCAGCAGUGGGGGAUAUUGCACAAUGGGGGGAACCCUGAUGCAGCGACGCCGCGUGGGUGAAGGAGCGUUUCGGCGCGUAAAGCCCUAUCGGAAGGGAAGAAGAUGACGGUACCUGGCCAAGAAGCCCCGGCUAACUACGUGCCAGCAGCCGCGGUAAUACGUAGGGGGCAAGCGUUAUCCGGAUUUACUGGGUGUAAAGGGGGCGCAGACGGCAAUGCAAGCCAGGAGUGAAAGCCCGGGGCCCAACCCCGGGACUGCUCUUGGAACUGCAUGGCUGGAGUACAGGAGGGGCAGGCGGAAUUCCUAGUGUAGCGGUGAAAUGCGUAGAUAUUAGGAGGAACACCGGUGGCGAAGGCGGCCUGCUGGACUGUGACUGACGUUGAGGCCCGAAGGCGUGGGGAGCAAACAGGAUUAGAUACCCGGGUAGUC